Molecule: ribosomal RNA, 954 nt
Filed under: uncultured bacterium
Lineage: Bacteria
Description: bacterial SSU rRNA
Rfam family: Bacterial small subunit ribosomal RNA
Source: RNAcentral
UCGGAUUACUGGGCGUAAAGAGUACGUAGGCGGCUAUUCAAGUCAGAGGUGAAAGCCCGGGGCUCAACCCCGGAACUGCCUUUGAAACUAGAUAGCUAGAAUCUUGGAGAGGUCAGUGGAAUUCCGAGUGUAGAGGUGAAAUUCGUAGAUAUUCGGAAGAACACCAGUGGCGAAGGCGACUGACUGGACAAGUAUUGACGCUGAGGUACGAAAGUGUGGGGAGCAAACAGGAUUAGAUACCCUGGUAGUCCACGCCGUAAACGAUGAUAACUAGUUGUUCGGUCACUUGGUGACUGAGUGACGCAGCUAACGUAUUAAGUUAUCCGCCUGGGGAGUACGGUCGCAAGAUUAAAACUCAAAGGAAUUGACGGGGGCCUGCACAAGCGGUGGAGCAUGUGGUUUAAUUCGAAGCAACGCGCAGAACCUUACCAGCGUUUGACAUCCCGCGCUACCCAGAGAGAUUUGGGGUUCCCUUCGGGGACGCGGUGACAGGUGCUGCAUGGCUGUCGUCAGCUCGUGUCGUGAGAUGUUGGGUUAAGCCCCGCAACGAGCGCAACCCUCAUCCCUAGUUGCCAUCAUUCAGUUGGGCACUCUAAGGAAACUGCCGGUGAUAAGCCGGAGGAAGGUGGGGAUGACGUCAAGUCCUCAUGGCCCUUACGCGCUGGGCUACACACGUGCUACAAUGGCAACUACAGUGGGCAGCAACCGUGCGAGCGGUAGCUAAUCUCCAAAAGUUGUCUCAGUUCGGAUUGUUCUCUGCAACUCGAGAGCAUGAAAGCGGAAUCGCUAGUAAUCGCGGAUCAGCAUGCCGCGGUGAAUACGUUCCCAGCCUUGUACACACCGCCCGUCACACCAUGGGAGUUGGUUUCACCCGAAAGGCAGUGCUCUAACCCGCAAGGAGGAAGCUGACCACGGUGGGAUCAGCGACUGGGGUGAAGUCGUACAAGUACCCGU